RNAcentral lists this ribosomal RNA (509 nucleotides) under uncultured bacterium. RNAcentral describes it as "partial 16S ribosomal RNA". It matches the Rfam family "Bacterial small subunit ribosomal RNA", at positions 28 to 523 of the family's 1533-position model. The record is from RNAcentral.
GACGAACGCUGGCGGCGCGCUUAACACAUGCAAGUCGAGCGAGAUCCAGGCCUUCGGGCCUGGGGACAGCGGCGAACGGGUGAGUAACACGUGGGUAAUCAACCCUCGACACUGGGAUAGCCCGGGGAAACCCGGAUUAAUACCGGAUGGCCCUUUGGAUCUUCGGAUCUGACGGGAAAGGUAGCUUCGGCCUCCGGUCGAGGACGAGCCCGCGGCGGAUUAGCUUGUUGGUGAGGUAACGGCUCACCAAGGCGACGAUCCGUAGCUGGUCUGAGAGGACGAUCAGCCACACUGGGAGUGAGGCACGGCCCAGACUCCUACGGGAGGCAGCAGUGGGGAAUCUUGCGCUAAUGCGGGAAACCGUGACGCAGCGACGCCGCGUGAGGGAAGAAGGCCUUCGGGUUGUAAACCUCUUUCAGGAGGGACGAAGCCACUCGGGUGAAUAGCCCAGAGGGUGACGGUACCUCGAGAAGAAGCCCCGGCUAACUACGUGCCAGCCGCCGCGGUAA